RNAcentral lists this ribosomal RNA (503 nucleotides) under uncultured bacterium. RNAcentral's name for it is "partial 16S ribosomal RNA". It matches the Rfam family "Bacterial small subunit ribosomal RNA", at positions 30 to 523 of the family's 1533-position model. The record is from RNAcentral.
AUUGAACGUUGGCGGCAGGCUUAACACAUGCAAGUCGAGCGGGGUGAUGGUGCUUGCACUAUCACUUAGCGGCGGACGGGUGAGUAAUGCUUAGGAAUCUGCCUAUUAGUGGGGGACAACAUCUCGAAAGGGAUGCUAAUACCGCAUACGUCCUACGGGAGAAAGCAGGGGAUCACUUGUGACCUUGCGCUAAUAGAUGAGCCUAAGUCGGAUUAGCUAGUUGGUGGGGUAAAGGCCUACCAAGGCGACGAUCUGUAGCGGGUCUGAGAGGAUGAUCCGCCACACUGGGACUGAGACACGGCCCAGACUCCUACGGGAGGCAGCAGUGGGGAAUAUUGGACAAUGGGGGGAACCCUGAUCCAGCCAUGCCGCGUGUGUGAAGAAGGCCUUAUGGUUGUAAAGCACUUUAAGCGAGGAGGGGGCUCUUUUGGUUAAUACCCAAGAUGAGUGGACGUUACUCGCAGAAUAAGCACCGGCUAACUCUGUGCCAGCAGCCGCAGUAA